Molecule: ribosomal RNA, 659 nt
Filed under: Theloderma chuyangsinense (Chu Yang Sin moss frog)
Lineage: Eukaryota; Metazoa; Chordata; Amphibia; Anura; Rhacophoridae
Description: partial 12S ribosomal RNA
Rfam family: Bacterial small subunit ribosomal RNA (bases 1-344)
Source: RNAcentral
GUAUACCUCCGUCGUAACCUUACCAGAUGAAAGCCUAACAGUAAGCCCAAGGACCUUAGCGCCAACACGUCAGGUCAAGGUGCAGCUAAUAAAAUGGAAAGUAAUGGGCUACAAUUUCUAUCAUAGAACAAACAAAAUACUACAUGAAACCUAGUAUGAAGGCGGAUUUAGCAGUAAAUAAGGAAUAGAGAGCCCUAUUAAACCCGGCCCUGGGAUGUGUACAAACCGCCCGUCACCCUCUUCGAUAACACCCCACCCCGCAUCAUAACCCACGCUCAUACCUUAGAAGAGGCAAGUCGAAACAUGGUAAGUGUACUGGAAAGUGCACUUGGAACAACAAAAUGUAGCUUAAUAAAAGCCCCUCGCUUACACCGAGAAGAUGCCUGUGCACCCGGAUCAUUUUGAGCCCCCCACCUAGCCCACAACCCGACGCAUGUUAAACUACCAAACCCUAACAAAGCAAAACAUUUUAACUUCAUAGUAAAGGCGAUCGAAACUUAUCUAGGCGCUUUAGAAAAAGUACCGCAAGGGAAAAUUGAAAUAAAAAUGAAAUANACCAAAAGCUUAUAAUAACAGAGACACUAACUCGUACCUUUCGCAUCAUGGCCUAGCCAGUUUUACCCAACCAAAAUGAAAUUUCAGUCUGACCCCCCGAAACU